RNAcentral lists this ribosomal RNA (249 nucleotides) under uncultured bacterium. RNAcentral describes it as "partial 16S ribosomal RNA". It matches the Rfam family "Bacterial small subunit ribosomal RNA", at positions 15 to 244 of the family's 1533-position model. The record is from RNAcentral.
GAUCAUGGCUCAGGAUGAACGCUGGCGGCGUGCUUAACACAUGCAAGUCGAACGAAACACCUUAUUUGAUUUUCUUCGGAACUGAAGAUUUGGUGAUUGAGUGGCGGACGGGUGAGUAACGCGUGGGUAACCUACCCUGUACAGGGGGAUAACAGUCAGAAAUGACUGCUAAUACCGCAUAAGACCACGGCACCGCAUGGUGCAGGGGUAAAAACUCCGGUGGUACAGGAUGGACCCGCGUCUGAUUAG